Molecule: ribosomal RNA, 468 nt
Filed under: uncultured bacterium
Lineage: Bacteria
Description: partial 16S ribosomal RNA
Rfam family: Bacterial small subunit ribosomal RNA
Source: RNAcentral
GACGAACGCUGGCGGCGUGCUUAACACAUGCAAGUCGAACGGAAAGGCCCUGCUUUUGUGGGGUGCUCGAGUGGCGAACGGGUGAGUAACACGUGAGUAACCUGCCCUUGACUUUGGGAUAACUUCAGGAAACUGGGGCUAAUACCGGAUAGGAGCUCCUGCUGCAUGGUGGGGGUUGGAAAGUUUCGGCGGUUGGGGAUGGACUCGCGGCUUAUCAGCUUGUUGGUGGGGUAGUGGCUUACCAAGGCUUUGACGGGUAGACGGCCUGAGAGGGUGACCGGCCACAUUGGGACUGAGCUACGGCCCAGACUCCUACGGGAGGCAGCAGUGGGGAAUAUUGCACAAUGGGCGGAAGCCUGAUGCAGCAACGCCGCGUGCGGGAUGACGGCCUUCGGGUUGUAACCCGCUUUCGCCUGUGACGAAGCGUGAGUGACGGUAAUGGGUAAAGAAGCACCGGCUAACUACGUG